UGAGUACGAGCUGCUACGGCAGCGAAGUGGGUGAUGUCAAGCUUCCAAGAAAAGCCCUAUACCCGUUAAGGCAUGACGGCCUGUACCCGAAACCGACACAGGUGGGGUGGUAGAGAAUACCGAGGGGCGCGAGAUAACUCUCUCUAAGGAACUCGGCAAAAUGGCCCCGUAACUUCGGGAGAAGGGGUGCCACCGCAAGGUGGUCGCAGUGAAGAGGCCCAGGCGACUGUUUACCAAAAACACAGGUCUCCGCUAAGUCGCAAGACGAUGUAUGGGGGCUGACGCCUGCCCAGUGCCGGAAGGUUAAGGAAGCUGGUCAGCGCAAGCGAAGCUGGCGACUGAAGCCCCGGUGAACGGCGGCCGUGACUAUAACGGUCCUAAGGUAGCGAAAUUCCUUGUCGGGUAAGUUCCGACCCGCACGAAAGGCGUAACGAUCUGGGCGCUGUCUCGGAGAGAGGCUCGGCGAAAUAGAAUUGUCUGUGAAGAUGCGGACUACGUGCACCCGGACAGAAAGACCCUAUGAAGCUUUACUGUAGCUUGGUAUUGUGCCCGGGCUCUGAAUGCGCAGGAUAGGUGGGAGGCUUUGAUCCAUUGCUUGUGGGUGAUGGUGAGCCAACGGUGAGAUACCACUCUUUCAGAGCUAGGGUUCUAACAGCCACCCGUUAUCCGGGGGCUGGACAGUAUCAGGUGGGCAGUUUGACUGGGGCGGUCGCCUCCUAAAAGGUAACGGAGGCGCGCAAAGGUUUGCUCAGGCUGGUUGGAAAUCAGCCGACGAGUGUAAAAGCAGAAGCAAGCUUGACUGUGAGACCAACAAGUCGAACAGGGACGAAAGUCGGCUUUAGUGAUCCGACGGUUCUGAGUGGAAGGGCCGUCGCUCAACGGAUAGAAGUUACUCUAGGAUAACAGGCUGAUCUCCCCCAAGAGUUCACAUCGACGGGGAGGUUUGGCACCUCGAUGUCGGCUCAUCGCAACCUGGGGCUGAAGUCGGUCCCAAGGGUUGGGCUGUUCGCCCAUUAAAGCGGUACGCGAGCUGGGUUCAGAACGUCGUGAGACAGUUCGGUCCAUAUCCGGUGCAUGCGUAAGAACAUUGAGAGGAGUUCUCCCUAGUACGAGAGGACCGGGAGGAACGCACCUCUGGUGUACCAGUUAUCGUGCCAACGGUAAACGCUGGGUAGCCAUGUGCGGAGAGGAUAACCGCUGAAAGCAUCUAAGUGGGAAGCCCACCUCAAGAUGAGUGUUCUCAUGGCUUAAGCCAGUAAGGUCACGGGAAGAACACCCGUUGAUAGGCUCUACGUGGAAGCGCAGCAAUGCGUGAAGCGGAGGAGUACUAAUAGACCGAGGGCUUGAC
Molecule: ribosomal RNA, 1348 nt
Filed under: metagenome
Description: bacterial LSU rRNA
Rfam family: Bacterial large subunit ribosomal RNA
Source: RNAcentral